Molecule: ribosomal RNA, 253 nt
Filed under: uncultured bacterium
Lineage: Bacteria
Description: partial 16S ribosomal RNA
Rfam family: Bacterial small subunit ribosomal RNA
Source: RNAcentral
UACAGAGGGUGCGAGCGUUGUCCGGAAUCACUGGGCGUAAAGGGCGCGCAGGCGGCCACGCACGUCCGUUGUGAAAUCGCUCGGCUCAACUGGGCGGGGUCAGCGGAUACGGCGUGGCUGGAGCAAGCUAGGGGGCAAUGGAAUUCCCGGUGUAGUGGUGGAAUGCGUAGAUAUCGGGAGGAACACCAGUGGCGAAGGCGGUUGCCUGGAGCUUUGCUGACGCUGAGGCGCGAAAGCGUGGGGAGCGAUCCGG